GACGAACGCUGGCGGCGUGCCUAACACAUGCAAGUCGAGCGAAUGAAGUUCCUUCGGGAAUGGAUUUAGCGGCGGACUGGUGAGUAACACGUGGGCAACCUGCCUCAUAGAGGGUAAUAGCCUCCCGCAAGGGAGAUUAAUACCGCAUAAGAUUGUAGUACCGCAUGAUACAGCAAUUAAAGGAGCAAUCCGCUAUGAGAUGGGCCCGCGGCGCCUUAGCUAGUUGGUGAGGUAAUGGCUCACCAAGGCGACGAUGCGUAGCCGACAUGAGAGGGUGAUCGGCAACAUUGGGACUGAGACACGGCCCAGAAUCCUACGGGAGGAAGCAGUGGGGAAUAUUGCAAAAUGGGGGAAACCAUGAUGCAGCAACGCCGCGUGAGUGAUGACGGCCGUCGGGUUGUAAAGCUCUGUCUUAAGGGACGAUAAUGACGGUACCUGAGGAAGAAGCCACGGCUAACUACGUG
RNAcentral lists this ribosomal RNA (464 nucleotides) under uncultured bacterium. Its description in RNAcentral is "partial 16S ribosomal RNA". It matches the Rfam family "Bacterial small subunit ribosomal RNA", at positions 28 to 507 of the family's 1533-position model. The record is from RNAcentral.